GCAGGGAAUAUUGCACAAUGGGCGAAAGCCUGAUGCAGCAACGCCGCGUGAGGGAUGAAGGUCUUCGGAUUGUAAACCUCUUUUCUAGGAGACGAGAAGGGACGGUACCCUAGGAAUAAGCAACGGCUAACUACGUGCCAGCAGCCGCGGUAAUACGUAGGUUGCAAGCGUUAUUCGGAUUUACUGGGCGUAAAGCGCACCGAGGUGGCUUCUUAAGUUGGAUGUGAAAUCUCUUGGCUUAACUAAGAGGGUGCAUUCAAGACUGAGGAGCUUGAGACCGGUAGGGGAAAGUGGAAUUCCCGGUGUAGUGGUGGAAUGCGUAGAGAUCGGGAGGAACACCAGUGGCGAAAGCGGCUUUCUGGACCGCGUCUGACACUCUAGUGCGAAAGCGUGGGUAGCAAACAGGAUUAGAAACCCCGGUAGUCC
Molecule: ribosomal RNA, 426 nt
Filed under: uncultured bacterium
Lineage: Bacteria
Description: bacterial SSU rRNA
Rfam family: Bacterial small subunit ribosomal RNA
Source: RNAcentral